This 28-nucleotide small RNA is filed under the name Bombyx mori (domestic silkworm). RNAcentral describes it as "ovarian small RNA-21025". The record is from RNAcentral. Lineage: Eukaryota; Metazoa; Arthropoda; Insecta; Lepidoptera; Bombycidae.
UACGAUACUGCGGGUAUCCGUGGUCGUU